RNAcentral lists this transfer RNA (67 nucleotides) under Urocolius indicus. RNAcentral describes it as "tRNA-Phe". It matches the Rfam family "tRNA". From Rfam's summary of the family: Transfer RNA (tRNA) molecules are approximately 80 nucleotides in length. Their secondary structure includes four short double-helical elements and three loops (D, anti-codon, and T loops). Lineage: Eukaryota; Metazoa; Chordata; Aves; Coliiformes; Coliidae. The record is from RNAcentral.
GUCUUUGUAGCUUAAACAAAGCAUAACACUGAAGAUGUUAAGAUGUUGUUAACUACACCCAAAGACA